CUUCCCCUCGUCAUAUCAAAUGCAUAAACGAUAUCAUACACAUAAAAAAAAGGACUUACUGCUAUUGCUAAUCAAAAGGAGCUUGAUGAGCUAAUCUGUAGUCGUGAUGGGCUAGAGCAGGUGGAGCGGCCAUUUGAUUUUCUCAAAAAAUAAUGAAGGGGAACUACUCCAACCCUAGAUAUAAGAAAAUCACCUUAGCAACUGCGAGAAUGUGAGGAAAACUGAUCAAAUUAGAAUAAAAUUAACUGAAAUUCAUAUGUAUGAGUAUAUGUACAAGGAUUUAUGCAUACAUACACUCUCAUAUCAGAUCGGAGAACAGUAAAUGAAGAAAGAGAAAAAUGAAUAUAUGUUUGAGAUCUACUAAAUAAAUGGAUGAUAUAACGAGAGAGUAGAAAGAGAUAGUUGUGUUACCUGGAAUUGGUUGCCGGCGAUGAGAUAGAAAUCAAUUGCAGUGGCGGUAAUGGUUUCAGCAGCGGUUAGAUAGGUUGAGUCUUUGUGAUGUAUUCCCAAAUUUUUCAAAUUUCAUUUUGUUAUUUUGAGAAAUUGGAGGGAAUAUUAGGUGAGGGU
This 567-nucleotide long non-coding RNA is filed under the name Nicotiana tabacum (common tobacco). RNAcentral describes it as "long non-coding RNA (NTAB_LNC001039)". Lineage: Eukaryota; Viridiplantae; Streptophyta; Magnoliopsida; Solanales; Solanaceae. The record is from RNAcentral.